RNAcentral lists this ribosomal RNA (710 nucleotides) under uncultured bacterium. RNAcentral's name for it is "bacterial SSU rRNA". It matches the Rfam family "Bacterial small subunit ribosomal RNA", at positions 52 to 744 of the family's 1533-position model. The record is from RNAcentral.
CACAUGCAAGUCGAACGAAGCACUUACUUGAUUCUUCGGAUGAAAGUUUGGUGACUGAGUGGCGGACGGGUGAGUAACGCGUGGGUAACCUGCCCUGUACAGGGGGAUAACAGCUGGAAACGGCUGCUAAUACCGCAUAAGCGCACGAGGAGACAUCUCCUUGUGUGAAAAACUCCGGUGGUACAGGAUGGGCCCGCGUCUGAUUAGCUGGUUGGCAGGGUAACGGCCUACCAAGGCAACGAUCAGUAGCCGGUCUGAGAGGAUGAACGGCCACAUUGGAACUGAGACACGGUCCAAACUCCUACGGGAGGCAGCAGUGGGGGAAUAUUGCACAAUGGGGGAAACCCUGAUGCAGCAAACGCCGCGUGAGUGAAGAAGUAUUUUCGGGUAUGUAAAAGCUCUAUCAGCAGGGGAAGAUAAUGACGGUACCUGACUAAGAAGCUCCGGCUAAAUACGUGCCAGCAGCCGCGGUAAUACGUAUGGAGCAAGCGUUAUCCGGAUUUACUGGGUGUAAAAGGGUGCGUAGGUGGCAGUGCAAAGUCAGAUGUGAAAAGGCCGGGGGCUCAAACCCCGGAGCUGCAUUUGAAAACUGCAUAGCUAGAGUACAGGGAGAGGGCAGGGCGGGAAUUCCUAGUGUAGCGGGUGAAAAUGCGUAGAUAUUAGGAGGAAACACCAGUGGCGAAAGGCGGGCCUGCUGGACUGUUACUGAC